This is a long non-coding RNA of Alosa sapidissima (American shad), 348 nucleotides long. RefSeq lists it as uncharacterized. The transcript has 2 exons. The record is from RefSeq and is a predicted model, not a curated record. Lineage: Eukaryota; Metazoa; Chordata; Actinopteri; Clupeiformes; Clupeidae.
UUUAAAGCCCUGUCUUUCAGCUCUCCUUUGUCAGAUCAUCUGCAAAGUUCACACCCGGAACCUGUUUGUUCGCACUUCUGGCUGACUCCUGUUUUGUGACCCCGGACCUGGCUGAAUCCUGACUACUCUUCUGCCCCAGAAGACCAGACCUGCUUUCUGCCUUAACGACUCCUGAGUACUCUUCGACCCCGGACUUCCGGACCACCCACCAACCGUCUUCAUAGGAUGCCUCGCUGCCACUGGGGGAGACAGACACGGCACAUUGGACGGAACCCCGGGAACCCCUGGAGCCUUCACUCACUUCCUACUUCCCUUUCCCCUGAAGUUCAAUAAACUUUCUGGUGUGAC